This is a non-coding RNA of Taeniopygia guttata (zebra finch), 3873 nucleotides long. The record is from RefSeq and is a predicted model, not a curated record. NCBI's taxonomy places the organism in Eukaryota, Metazoa, Chordata, Aves, Passeriformes, Estrildidae.
UUUCCUGUGUCCUGUAUCCAUGCAUCCCUUUUGGGCAUGGCUGCAUUCCCAGCCUGGCUUGCUCCUGAUGCUCUUGCUCACUGGGUUUCCUAACACCAGGGGGGAAAAGCAGGGGAAGGCCAGGCUGUGAGUGGGUUUGGGAGCUGUGUGUGUGCUCAUGGCAGUGCUUCUCACCAUACUGACCUGUGUCACCCAAGGAUGGGGAUUGUUCCUCUGGAGAACUUCAUUCCCUUAUCUUCUAGAGGAUGUGCCGUGUCCUUGCUGUGCAGUGUAACUUCUCUGCCCUGUGUCCCCCAGUGCUGGUAAAUCCACUGAGAAUGCAGCAAGAGCAAAACCUCCUCAGCCCCAGCCCUGUUUUGCUGUGUUCCCUAAGGAUUGACACAUGUUUCUCCAUUGGUGGAGAGGACAUUUAUGCUUGGGGUGAACAGGGUAUGUAGCAAAUCCCAGCAUCAGACCCUGGUAAGACAAAACAGGCUUGAACUGACUCUCCCUGAUUCAGUCUCUGGCAGAAGCAUUUUUGAAAAAUGUCCCCACUGUCCCCAGCAUUUAUUGUGUUUACAAACGUCUGAGUGCAGUGAAUGGUUUAGCUGCCGGUGGUCUUUUCAGUGCUGUGCCAGUUAGCUCAGUUGCUAAGAGCCCAGGCAUGUCACUUCUGCAUUUUUUCCCAGUGACAGAUGAAAGGAGUGGGAGAACUCCAAUUUGGGCAUACCAGAGGAUGGGACUGCCAAGCAGCUUGUCUGGGGAGAAAAAAGAAAUACAGACUGGCAGUGUCUCAUGUUGGUGGAAGCAAAAAAACCUUUGUAACUCCUUUUCUUCUCAUCUCAUGUGCUUUUUGUGUAUUUUGCACACUAAUCGACCUGGAGACAGCAGCAGAAGGACUGAAGGAUCACAGUGGUGCCACCGUGCUGCAGCCACCUGUGCCUUGCACAGCCCUGCACCUGGUGCCAGAGCCCUGUGCAGAGUUGGUGCCUGGAGCCCGAUGGUUCCAGCCUGGCACAGCCUCCUUGCACCCUGCCUGGGUGGCAAACCCACCCUUCUAUUUGAUUUGUUGAUUUCCUUUUCUGGGUGAGUGUGCCAUUGUGCAGGACAAUGAAGCACGUUUAAGGUGGUAUCUGUUGAAACAACCACGAAACACUUGUAUUCACAGGGCAUUUUAUUAGAACUCUUCUAAUCUUAGCCUAACCUUAUUUUAUGGAUUUGACUUCAAAGUGUUAUUUAUAAAAAGAAUCACUGAAUCCUUAUGGUCUUAACAGUCAUGAGGUAAUCUUAGGAAAGUAUUUUAAUGAUGUUAAAGCAGCAAUCAGUCCAACGUGUUUAUGAAUUGGACCCAAAGUAAUUUGGAUCUUGUUGGAAUUGUGUACCCUGUCUUUCACCUUGGCUUCUUUUACUAUUCCUGCCCUCUUUCCAGCAUAAUCCAGUCCCUUAGACCAUGUCAAUGGGGAUGUGCUGAGGCUCUGUGUCAAAGAGGGCUCAUUCUGUCUCCACAGGCUGCCCUUUCUCUGUCUCCAGGGUAAUAGAUGCAUUAAUGCAUGGUCAGACUGUGGUCUGCCAUUAAAAUGCUCCUUUGUAAGUGCAUCUUUGGUAGCUUGGAGAGCUGACUACGUCAUGUGAACAUUUUUCAGUGCCACAAAAAGCUGGGGGAAGAAAGAAUCAAAUUUUGUUUAGUUUGGACUAAGUUGCCUUGAGCUAUUGGCACUCAUCUUCUCUUGGUGCAAACUUUAGAUCUAAUAACCAAUUUCAGAGUCCCAUCAUUAACAGUUCUCAUUUCCAAAGAGUUUAUAAUCUAAAUGGGCAGAUAGUCAAGUCUUUCCUCAAGCAGGGAUAUUAAAAGCUGCUUUAGAGCCUUGGUGCAGUCUUUUUGGCAGGAGCAAUUGCAUUAAUGCUCUCGUAGGUGAAACUCAAUUACUUCACUCUCUGACUCACAGAAACCUCCUCAGCUCUUAGGAGAGCACAGGCUGGUGGAGCUGAAGUCCAAGCAUUCUGCUCCCUAGGUGAUACCCUGAGAGAAGCUAUCAGGAGGAUGGGGCCUGCAGGUGCCAUGGAAUGUGCACUUCUGCAGGGCCUGAAGGCCAGGCUGAGCCCCCUGAGCUGGAGCUGUCCCUGUCACCAGUGGUGGUGGGCUGGGGGCUGAUGGGCUCCUCUGCCAUGGAGCAGGACUGUCCCUGUCACCAGUGGUGGGAUUCUCUGUGCUGAUGGGCUCCUCUGCCAUGGAGCAGGACUGUCCCUGUCACCAGUGGUGGGAUUCUCUGUGCUGAAGCUGUUGGCUCCACAGGAGAGCCCUUUCCUGCCCAGCUGGAUCACUCCCACUGGCCUCAUGGUCUGCACAUGACAAAGCAUCGAUGCAAUUCAGGACACUCAUCCUCCUCUGCUCUGGGCAGCUUCACUAAAACACAAGCCUGUUUGACAGAUGUACUCCAGCACACCUUUUUGACAGCUCCUAUGCCAGCUCCUCUUGCUUUUGUUCAGGGCCAGGCCUUUGCUGGUGGAACUUCUUCCAGGUUUUGACCCGAGUUUCUGAUUUAUCUCCUUUGUGUUCUGUGAAAAGUCAGGCUGCAGCAUUCAGGAACAAUGGUACAAUUACGUAAGAGCUCUUUUCCCCUUUCAGAGAGGACAGAAUGAAAAUCUCCAGGGAUAUCUGUUUGUCUUUUGGCAGUGCCUGGCAAAUGCUUAAACGCUGUUCAAUGUUAAACUAUCUUGCUUGGGACCAGCAUUGAAGAAAUAACAAAAUUAUGUUUGGUGGUGUUCUCUCAACUAGCAUCUCUUAGGUGCUGUUGCAAAGACCUGGGGCAUGGUUGAGAGGGAGAAACCAUUUUAAUUCUUGCAGAGAAUAAAUAUAUCUCUCAUGAAUUGAAGAAUCAGCUGUAUAUCAGGAGAAUUGUUGGGACUGCAAGUAUUUGAGGGGGCAUUUAAUACUAAAAUGCUGAUCAGAAGACUUAGGCACUGUAAGAAAUGUGCAUGGACAUUAAUGAUGAACGGGUCUGUUUUGGGUGUGCACUACAGGGUUGUGCUCCACAAGGUGACAGAUCAGUGCAGCUCAACAAGGACCUAAUGGGACAUCCACUUAAUUGUGCUUUAAAUAAAUCACCUUAUUGGUCUAUUAGCUGAUUCCAACCCUCAGAAGUACACAUAAGUUAUUACAGUGGAAAGUGCUUUAAAAACAUUAAUUGACUUUAUGUCAAGGGGGCUGAUUGUACAUCUCUGAACUAAUUCAAUUAAAUGGUGUAGGUGGUUUUAUUUUGGUUCUUAGCCAAUUUUGCUUCCAGCUCUCAUUCGGGGGAUUUUUUUUUAACCUUGUUGAACUUAAAGAACAAGCAACAAUUUUCUGUUGCUCUAGGCAUUUUGUUCCUUAAAAUUUCCCUUUAGUAAAUACUGAAGCACAUUUUUACAGGGCUAGUUUGCACCACUUUGUGCUGCUAUUCCUGACUAGCAAUUUGUGAUUUUCUUUUUGAGAUUUAAAAAUAGUUUCAUAUGUAUUUUGGUUACUUCAGGGAAGAAAAAAAUUUUCACAGAAAAUCAGUCUUUUUAAGUACAUUUGCAUUUUACCAGCAGAACUUAAAACAUUAAUUGUUCAAUAAACUCCAGCUGAAUGACAGAUACUAUAAAAGCAAAGAUGAAUAUUUCCGUGUUCUGAAACAAUGUUCCUUCCCCCUCUGCACCCGAAUGUUUUCUCCUAACAGUUUAUUCUUUCUUUUUCUCUAUGUAAAUAUUAUGGGACUCUGAUGGGAAAGAAGCUGAUGGUCAUCGUAUAAUAAAUAUCUGUUCUCCUGUGCUUAUAAAGUGGUGUGCAAACCCCUUAUAUGAAUGAUCCCCUGGAAAGGCUUAACUUUGGAGUGACUUUACCUUCCAUUACAAUAAUACAGUACCUUGAUCUUG